CUGAUAAACAGUGAUUUUUUAUUUUUAUUGAUUUUUUUAAUUUUUAUUUGGUCAGUAUAGCAUCCAAUUAAAUAUAAGUAGUUUAUUGAUAUAGUGCAAACACAUGCAGCUGUAACAGUGUGGCUCUAUUCUUGCUGAGUUAUGUUAUGUAGAUAUAAAGAGAGUAUCCCGCUGGGUCGGUAGGAAUUAUGAAGGACAAACAUGAAUUGCAU
This is a non-coding RNA of Pelobates cultripes (western spadefoot toad), 212 nucleotides long. The record is from the annotation of a GenBank genome assembly. Lineage: Eukaryota; Metazoa; Chordata; Amphibia; Anura; Pelobatidae.